Molecule: long non-coding RNA, 1425 nt
Filed under: Setaria italica (foxtail millet)
Lineage: Eukaryota; Viridiplantae; Streptophyta; Magnoliopsida; Poales; Poaceae
Description: long non-coding RNA (SITA_LNC002974)
Source: RNAcentral
GUGGGCGUGCCCAGCCUACUGGCGCCGUCGUCCCGCUCCGGCCGGCUGCCGUUCUGCGCCAACGCCACCACCUCCGGCCGCGUCACCAUGUCCGCCGAGUGGAUGCCCGGCCAGCCCCGCCCCGCCCACCUCGACGGCUCCUCUCCUGGGUAAUACUCACGGCCAAUCACCACGACGACGCCGGCGUCGAGGCUGAUGAACUGACGAGUGAUGACUGACGAUGCUUGUGUCUGUUUUCCAGGGACUUCGGCUUCGACCCCCUGGGCCUCGCCACCGUUCCGGAGAACUUCGAGCGGUUCAAGGAGUCCGAGGUCUACCACUGCCGCUGGGCCAUGCUCGCCGUGGUACGCCGCUGUGCUGCCUCUCUGAUUACUUACGAUCAUGUCAUGAACUAUGGCAUGGACCUGACCGAUGAGCUUUGCAAUUGUGUGGCAUGCAGCCCGGGAUCUUGGUGCCUGAGGCGCUGGGCCUUGGCAACUGGGUGAAGGCGCAGGAGUGGGCGGCCGUCCCCGGCGGGCAGGCCACAUACCUGGGCAACCCGGUGCCGUGGGGCACGCUGCCCACCAUCCUGGUGAUCGAAUUCGUGGCCAUCGCCUUCGCCGAGCACCAGCGCACCAUGGAGAAGGACCCCGAGAAGAAGAAGUACCCCGGCGGCGCCUUCGACCCGCUCGGCUUCUCCAAGGACCCCGUCAAGUUCGAGGAGUACAAGCUCAAGGAGAUCAAGAACGGUGAGUCUCCUGGUUUUGUGUACUAUAUGAUCUCGUUGUUGUAGUGACAGCCUCCCACUCCAUUGAUCAUACGCUAACCACUGGGCAUCGUCUAAACGAUUGUGCAUGAUGAUGAGCAGGCCGGCUUGCGAUGUUGGCGUUCGUGGGGUUCUGCGUGCAGCAGUCGGCGUACCCCGGCACCGGGCCGCUGGAGAACCUGGCUACCCACCUCGCCGACCCGUGGCACAACAACAUCGGCGACAUCAUCAUCCCCAGAACGAUCUACCCUUGAGCUGAGAUGAUUGUGAGAGAAGAGGAUGAGACGAGACAGGAGAUGGGGCUGUGCUGGGAGUGUGGAUGAUGUUCUAUGUGUGUGAUUGGUUGGUUACUGGGCACUGCCUGCGUGCGUGCAGGAACUGUACAACGAACAACGACGGCGACUUUCCGGCCGGCCGGGAACCCCUUAUAAUGUAAAGCUUAUUAUUAUUAAGUAGCGGCUACCCUUAUGAAUCCACCCAAGUUUUGUGCCAAAACCAAACUAUAGCUUUGCUAUGUUCCCCAUUGUUUUGCCGAAGGGCAAAUCAGAGGAAGUUCAGCGUGUGUUUGAUUUGGGAUCAAAUGAGAUGUGUUGGAUUCAUCCUACUUUUCUUGGUCAGGUUCAAUCCGUCUUGUGUUUGGUUGGGAGGGAUGUGUCCAUCUUGGUUUUUUUGAAAGGUGA